AGUGAACGCUGGCGGUAGGCCUAACACAUGCAAGUCGAACGGCAGCACAGUAAGAGCUUGCUCUUACGGGUGGCGAGUGGCGGACGGGUGAGGAAUACAUCAGAAUCUACUUUUUCGUGGGGGAUACGUAGGGAAACUUACGCUAAUACCGCAUACGACCUACGGGUGAAAGCAGGGGAUCUUCGGACCUUGCGCGAUUGAAUGGGCCGAUGUCGGAUUAGCUAGUUGGCGGGGUAAAGGCCCACCAAGGCGACGAUCCGUAGCUGGUCUGAGAGGAUGAUCAGCAACACGGGAACUGAGACACGGUCCAGACUCCUACGGGAGGCAGCAGUGGGGAAUAUUGGACAAUGGGCGCAAGCCUGAUCCAGCCAUACCGCGUGGGUGAAGAAGGCCUUCGGGUUGUAAAGCCCUUUUGUUGGGAAAGAAAAGCAGCAGGUUAAUACCCCGCUGUUCUGACGGUACCCAAAGAAUAAGCACCGGCUAACUUCGUG
RNAcentral lists this ribosomal RNA (491 nucleotides) under uncultured bacterium. RNAcentral's name for it is "partial 16S ribosomal RNA". It matches the Rfam family "Bacterial small subunit ribosomal RNA", at positions 29 to 507 of the family's 1533-position model. The record is from RNAcentral.